UACGGGAGCAGCAGUGGGGAAUAUUGCACAAUGGGCGAAAGCCUGAUGCAGCUAUGCCGCGUGUAUGAAGAAGGCCUUAGGGUUGUAAAGUACUUUCAUCGGGGAGGAAAAAACAAAACUAAUAAUUUUAUUUCUUGACGUUACCCGAAAAAGAAGCACCGGCUAACUCCGUGCCAGCAGCCGCGGUAAUACGGAGGGUGCUAGCGUUAAUCAGAAUUACUGGGCGUAAAGAGCACGUAGGUGGUUUUUUUAAAGUCAGAUGUGAAAUCCCUGGGCUUAACCUAGGAACUGCAUUUUGAAACUGAAAUACUAGAGUAUCGUAGAGGGAGGUAGAAUUCUAGGUGUAGCGGUGAAAUGCGUAGAUAUCUGGAGGAAUACCUGUGGCGAAAGCGGCCUCCUAAACGAAUACUGACACUGAGGUGCGAAAGCGUGGGGAGCAAACAGGGAUUAGAUACC
Molecule: ribosomal RNA, 456 nt
Filed under: uncultured bacterium
Lineage: Bacteria
Description: bacterial SSU rRNA
Rfam family: Bacterial small subunit ribosomal RNA
Source: RNAcentral